RNAcentral lists this ribosomal RNA (253 nucleotides) under uncultured bacterium. Its description in RNAcentral is "partial 16S ribosomal RNA". It matches the Rfam family "Bacterial small subunit ribosomal RNA", at positions 524 to 776 of the family's 1533-position model. The record is from RNAcentral.
UACGGAGGGUGCAAGCGUUAUCCGGAUUCACUGGGUUUAAAGGGUGCGUAGGUGGGUUGGUAAGUCAGUGGUGAAAUCCCCGAGCUUAACUUGGGAACUGCCAUUGAUACUAUCAGUCUUGAAUACUGUGGAGGUUAGCGGAAUAUGUCAUGUAGCGGUGAAAUGCUUAGAUAUGACAUAGAACACCAAUUGCGAAGGCAGCUGGCUACACAAUUAUUGACACUGAGGCUCGAAAGCGUGGGGAUCAAACAGG